AUUUAACAUGUUAAAGACCCCGUUGGUGAGCCAGGGGCAUUUUGGUAAUUAUGACCCGAGAAGAGUAAAAUGAUGAAAUUAAUUUAAUUAUGUGCUUAAUAGAACUAUAUUAUUAUAUAGUAUGACUGUGUUGUCUUUUCAGGUGUGUUCUGACAGGUUGGCGCGGUAUAGUCACAACCGGGUAUUUUGGGCCGAACCGGGUUCGGGCCCGAAAUGCAAAUUAGAUUGAAUUAAUUGGCAUUUUAUUUGAUAAUGAGAAAUCUGAAAUUUAAUUGGGUUUGAAUUGGUGUGUAACUGUCAUUUUUGCCCUUACAUGCCUAAGUGAAUGUUAUUUGGCCCUAGGGGCAAAAUGGUCUUUUUAGACCCUUAAUUUAUGUUUAAUAAAAGAAUGAUUUUAAGGAAAAGAGAAUUAUUUUUCUAGUUUUCCUUCAGCCCUAAAACCGUACCCCUCCUCUCCUCUUCACUUAUUUCUUAAAUGUUUAGAUUUUUGUAGAUUGUUCUUGAAUUGAAGGUUUUGUAAAGUUGAAUUUCUUGUGGAUAGAAGCUUGAAGUUGUGGAAAGGGUAAGGCAUUAGCUGAUCUGCCAUGAGUUUCAGGAGCAGACGAAGAAUGUACAUGUUCACGCCACUUCAGACCAAGCGGGUUAUGGGUCUAACAGUGUUGACUUUUGUAUUCUGUUUUGCCGCUUAGGUCGGCUAGUAAGAAAGAACUUGUAAUAAGUUGUAAAUAUUUUUGGGAUCCCAACUAUUUUGAAAAGUUUAAAUAUAUUACAAGUUUUAUUUUCA
Molecule: long non-coding RNA, 784 nt
Organism: Cannabis sativa
Lineage: Eukaryota; Viridiplantae; Streptophyta; Magnoliopsida; Rosales; Cannabaceae
Exons: 2
Source: RefSeq, a predicted model, not a curated record